UGAUGUUAAUCAUGUGGUGUCACGUGGGACCCAUGACGUGGCUUUUAGGGUACAUCAAAUCAGGAGGGGCGCGUGGGGGAGAUUGGCGGUGGGCUCAAAAUGGGUCCUACGCUGAUCGUAGGUUAUGCUGCAUGCAUGGGUUUAUUACCUGUUGGAAGGGAACACGCAUAUAUGGUGUUUGAAAAAUAUUAAUUGCUGUAAUUAAUUAAUAUUCAAUGCUCCAAUUAAUUAAAAAGAAAGUUAUUAUUACUAGUCAAAACUAAC
This 264-nucleotide long non-coding RNA is filed under the name Carica papaya (papaya). RNAcentral's name for it is "long non-coding RNA (CPAP_LNC006814)". The record is from RNAcentral. Lineage: Eukaryota; Viridiplantae; Streptophyta; Magnoliopsida; Brassicales; Caricaceae.